This is a long non-coding RNA of Sinocyclocheilus rhinocerous, 214 nucleotides long. RefSeq lists it as uncharacterized. Lineage: Eukaryota; Metazoa; Chordata; Actinopteri; Cypriniformes; Cyprinidae. The transcript is spliced from 3 exons. The record is from RefSeq and is a predicted model, not a curated record.
GAGGAGAUCGUUAUGGGCCCUAAUAUUAUCUAGUGAAGAGUCUGCAGCUGCCUGGGACCAAAGACGGCAGCAGAAGGUCAUGCACUUCCAGAAGAUCCUGCACCAAACCGCCUCUGAGAUGAAUGGGAACAGUUAAACUGGUACGUGCGGGAGGGAAAGGCAAAAGUGGCGCCCUCUCGUUCCCCGAGUCGAAACAGGAUGUUCUGCACGGUGC